GUUAUAGAAUCAAGUGACUAAGCGUAUGUGGUGGAUGCCUAGGCGAUAAGAGGCGAUGAAGGACGUAGUAAUCUGCGAUAAGCCCCGGUGAGCUGAUAAACAAGCAUUGACCCGAGGAUUUCCGAAUGGGGGAACCCGGCAUUUUAAGAUGUCAUCCGAAAGGAAGCUAACCCGGAGAACUGAAACAUCUAAGUACCCGGAGGAACAGAAAUCAACCGAGAUUCCCUUAGUAGCGGCGAGCGAACGGGGAGCAGCCCUUAAGCGGCUUUGCUGAUAAGAGAACACGUUGGGAAGCGUGACCAGAGUGGGUGAUAGUCCCGUAUCUGAAAUCAUCAUAGUUGUGAAAACGAGUAGGUCGGGACACGUGAUAUCCUGAUUGAAGAUGGGGGGACCAUCCUCCAAGGCUAAAUACUCCUUAUCGACCGAUAGUGAACCAGUACCGUGAGGGAAAGGCGAAAAGAACCCCGGAGAGGGGAGUGAAAUAGAACCUGAAACCGCAUACGUACAAGCAGUGGGAGCCGGAGUUUACUCUGGUGACUGCGUACCUUUUGUAUAAUGGGUCAGCGACUUACUUUUAGUGGCAAGCUUAAGCGAAUAGCGUAGGCGUAGGGAAACCGAGUCUUAAUAGGGCGUUGAGUCGCUGGGAGUAGACCCGAAACCGGGCGAUCUAUCCAUGGCCAGGUUGAAGGUGCGGUAACACGCACUGGAGGACCGAACCCACGUAUGUUGAAAAAUGCAGGGAUGAGCUGUGGAUCGGAGUGAAAGGCUAAUCAAGCCCGGAGAUAGCUGGUUCUCCUCGAAAUCUAUUUAGGUAGAGCCUCAUGUAUUACUCACGGGGGUAGAGCACUGUUAUGGCUAGGGGGGCCUGACCGCCUUACCAACCCAUUGCAAACUCCGAAUACCGUGAAGUAUCAGCAUGGGAGACACACGGCGGGUGCUAACGUCCGUCGUGGAAAGGGAAACAACCCAGACCGCCAGCUAAGGUCCCCAAAUUACCGCUCAGUGGGAAACGAUGUGGGAAGGCCCAGACAGCCAGGAGGUUGGCUUAGAAGCAGCCAUCCUUUAAAGAAAGCGUAAUAGCUCACUGGUCGAGUCG
RNAcentral lists this ribosomal RNA (1096 nucleotides) under Pseudomonadota bacterium. Its description in RNAcentral is "bacterial LSU rRNA". It matches the Rfam family "Bacterial large subunit ribosomal RNA", at positions 1 to 1156 of the family's 2925-position model. The record is from RNAcentral. Lineage: Bacteria; Pseudomonadati; Pseudomonadota.